This 138-nucleotide small nucleolar RNA is filed under the name Ornithorhynchus anatinus (platypus). Lineage: Eukaryota; Metazoa; Chordata; Mammalia; Monotremata; Ornithorhynchidae. The record is from RNAcentral.
ACCCUCUCAGGGUUGCACUUGGAGAGUUUCCAGUUCUCUACUAGUCUCGGCUAUGGGAGAGAGAGUUAAGCAGAGGCUUACCAAUUCCAUUCCUAGCUUGGACAGUGGCUAGCGAGUGGAAGGCAAUCUGCUACAAGU